Molecule: ribosomal RNA, 1057 nt
Filed under: Apilactobacillus kunkeei
Lineage: Bacteria; Bacillati; Bacillota; Bacilli; Lactobacillales; Lactobacillaceae
Description: bacterial SSU rRNA
Rfam family: Bacterial small subunit ribosomal RNA
Source: RNAcentral
CGGGAGGCAGCAGUAGGGAAUCUUCCACAAUGGACGAAAGUCUGAUGGAGCAACGCCGCGUGAGUGAUGAAGGUUUUCGGAUCGUAAAACUCUGUUGUUAAAGAAGAACAAGUGUUAGAGUAACUGUUAACACUUUGACGGUAUUUAACCAGAAAGCCACGGCUAACUACGUGCCAGCAGCCGCGGUAAUACGUAGGUGGCAAGCGUUGUCCGGAUUUAUUGGGCGUAAAGCGAGCGCAGGCGGUUUUGUAAGUCUGCUGUGAAAGCCCUCAGCUCAACUGAGGAAGUGCAGUGGAAACUACAAAACUUGAGUACAGAAGAGGAAAGUGGAACUCCAUGUGUAGCGGUGAAAUGCGUAGAUAUAUGGAAGAACACCAGUGGCGAAGGCGGCUUUCUGGUCUGUUACUGACGCUGAGGCUCGAAAGCAUGGGUAGCGAACAGGAUUAGAUACCCUGGUAGUCCAUGCCGUAAACGAUGAAUACUAGGUGUUGGAGGGUUUCCGCCCUUCAGUGCCGCAGCUAACGCAUUAAGUAUUCCGCCUGGGGAGUACGACCGCAAGGUUGAAACUCAAAGGAAUUGACGGGGGCCCGCACAAGUGGUGGAGCAUGUGGUUUAAUUCGAUGCUACGCGAAGAACCUUACCAGCUCUUGACAUCUUCUGCCAACCCAAGAGAUUGGGCGUUCCCUUCGGGGACAGAAUGACAGGUGGUGCAUGGUUGUCGUCAGCUCGUGUCGUGAGAUGUUGGGUUAAGUCCCGCAACGAGCGCAACCCUUAUUAUUAGUUGCCAGCAUUUAGUUGGGCACUCUAGUGAGACUGCCGGUGAUAAACCGGAGGAAGGUGGGGACGACGUCAAAUCAUCAUGCCCCUUAUGAGCUGGGCUACACACGUGCUACAAUGGAUGGUACAACGAGUCGCGAAACCGCGAGGUCAAGCUAAUCUCUUAAAGCCAUUCUCAGUUCGGAUUGCAGGCUGCAACUCGCCUGCAUGAAGUUGGAAUCACUAGUAAUCGUGGAUCAGCAUGCCANCGGUGAAUACGUUCCCGGGCCUUGUACACACU